This 23-nucleotide non-coding RNA is filed under the name Cricetulus griseus (Chinese hamster). The record is from RNAcentral. Lineage: Eukaryota; Metazoa; Chordata; Mammalia; Rodentia; Cricetidae.
AAUGAUGUCCAAAAAAUAGAAUG